Hevea brasiliensis (rubber tree) is the source of this 2448-nucleotide RNA transcript. It is a transcript of the gene named protein MLN51 homolog, with no coding region annotated. The record is from RefSeq and is a predicted model, not a curated record. NCBI's taxonomy places the organism in Eukaryota, Viridiplantae, Streptophyta, Magnoliopsida, Malpighiales, Euphorbiaceae. The transcript is spliced from 11 exons.
GCACCUGCAGCAGUGGCAAUGCUUCAUUUCGGCGCUGAGAGUGAAAGAGUUGGGAUUGGCGAAAAAGACCAAAAAAACAAAAAAAAUCGCUCAGGAAAACAUAGCGCCCUCUAUAAACACCAGAUAACCACCGCCACCAACAGUCAACAGAGAGUAUUAAAAGCAAAAUGUUCAACUAAACAAAGUUUAGGACCCUUAAUUCACCGACUUGUUUGAAGAAUUUUUUUUCUUUUCAAAUACAAAAUGCUUAUAUUCGAAUAAUCGCGUUGUUUUAUUAGGGUUUGCUCUCUUUGUUUCAAGCUUACAAAUCAAUGGCUGAUGCUAAACGACAAGUUGAUAGUGAUCCAGAGGAUUCGGGCCCGCAUUGGGCGAUGCGGAGACGGAAAGCAAGUGAUGAUGAUGACGAUAGAACCAGCGAAGAAGAAGAAAGGGAUGUACGGACUGAUGGGAGAGUUUUUGCGGGUUUUGAUGAUGAAUUGGACGGUGUAGGUGGAGCGCCGGAGAAUGAGGAUGAUGAGGAGAUCUCACAUUUCAAUGAACUUGAAGUUGUUGGAGAGGAAGAGCAGGUGCUUGUUUUGGAAGACGAAGAAGAUGAGGGUUUCAAAAGAGACGAGGAUGAGCGUGAUGAGGAGGAGAAGAAGGAGAAGGAGAAAAAGGCGCUUAUAGUUCCGAGAAUGGGUGCAUUCUACAUGCACGAUGACCGGUUUGAAGGCAAUAGCAGUGGACGAAGGAUGACUUCUGGCGGAAGAAACUUGUGGGAAUUCAAAGAUGAAAGAAAAUGGCAACACGACAAGUUUGAAGAGAUGACCCUGCAGGAAUCAGAGAACAAAAAAUUUAAUGCCUACACCAAGGUACAGAGGAACUCUGAUGCAUAUCAUCAGGGAUACUACGGAAAUCCUGGCCAUAGUGUUAAAGCCAACCAUGUUAAACCCAAUAACAAUCAAAGCCUCUCAUCAAGAACUAUAAGAGGGAGAGGGCCUGUAAAGUAUAAGCCUCUUAAAAGCAGCAAUGAUUUAGAUCCACUAACUGGAAAUAUGGAAUUCAGAAAGCCCCCUGGUAUAAACUCAAAUGCUUAUUCAGCGAGAACGUCACACACUUCAAAGGUAGAUUCUGAUUCACUUGCCCCUAAAAAGAAGCAUCAUCAUGUGAGUUCUUCCAAUCCUGACAUCAUUGUGGCAAAGAGGAGGGAGGUACAACCAAGAAGAACAAGACGUUAUUUUCCAACUACUGCACUUCCAGGUGACAACAUAUGUGUGCUGCAUUACAAUGCAUAUCUACAGCAGAAGAGUGUCGCUGAUUCUAUUGGGAGGGACAGGCUUUAUACUCAGGAGUGCAUCCAUCCAGUUGUUGAACAUCAUUUUGCCAAUCUGCCCUUUCAGUCUUCUGUCCAGUCAAGGAAUUUUCCUCUCCUUGCACUGAUAACUCAUCAAUCACCUACAUCUUCUAACAAAGUUGAUAUAGUUUCUGUGCCUAACCAUGUUCAACAAGCCCCUCAUGGAAGCAUAGUUUAUUGUCCUUUACAAGCUUAUACUCAGCAAUUGAUCUCACAUUCUAGGAUUCGGUCUCAGGCUUCAUUUAAAGCUUCUUCACCAAGUGAAUCAGAUGUUGGCAUGAUCGAAUCAUUUGCUAAAUCAAAUAAAUCAGAAAUUGCAUGGGUUGGAGAUCAGAACUUUACCACUACAACAUGGCAUUUGCCUGGCAUGCAGUUUAGUGGCAAGCAUCUUGGUGAACUUAGUGAGCAUGCUGUUGACAGGGCUGUCGCCAGAUAUAUGUCUCAACCCCAAGUUAGUUUUGGAAAUUCUGGGAUGACUUGUGAUGGAGCAAGUGCAAGUAAAGUCACCAAGGUAAAUAGAGCUCCAGAUGGAACUGAAUUUAUGAAUCAUCGAUAUGGGUUGCAAAGGAUCAAGCUGCAAAGAUAUUCAAAGAUGAAGUUUAACAGCUAAAGUGAAUUGAUUAGGUCAUUUGUAAAGAGCAGUCUUAACUACAAACUACAGGCUACAGUCUGCAAUUUCUUCAUUCACUGCAAUGCAUCACUGCCUGCCUGCUCAAGUUGCAUUUUGGUGCUUGCGAACCAUAAGUGAUUUGAGAAAAGCAUUUAGAGCUUCACAAGUGGCGGUUACUGGACAAUUGUUUCCUGACUGGAGCAAAUAUACUGUAGGGAACUCCUAUUUCAUAUUGCAUAGCCAAUGCCAAUCCCCUUGGUGGUAUAAAGUGGAGGACAUGUGAGAGAGCCAGCCAUAUCCAUGUGAUGUUUUCAACUUCCAUCAUCAAGUCUUUGGCUUAGUUUAAUUCCUUUACCAAAUCUCCCUGCAGAAAAUCAUCAUGCAUCAUCAUCAAUUUUAAAAUCUUUUUUUUUUUUUUUUAAAUAAAUGCCUGAUGCCUCUUCAUGCUUGGUUAUAACAUUGCCUAUUCAAUAAAAUGAGAAACAUUUUUAUUACAAUGAUAUUA